This 505-nucleotide ribosomal RNA is filed under the name uncultured bacterium. Its description in RNAcentral is "partial 16S ribosomal RNA". It matches the Rfam family "Bacterial small subunit ribosomal RNA", at positions 28 to 507 of the family's 1533-position model. The record is from RNAcentral.
GACGAACGCUGGCGGCGUGCCUAAUACAUGCAAGUAGAACGCACAGUUUAUACCGUAGCUUGCUACACCAUAGACUGUGAGUUGCGAACGGGUGAGUAACGCGUAGGUAACCUGCCUGGUAGCGGGGGAUAACUAUUGGAAACGAUAGCUAAUACCGCAUAAUAUUAAUUAUUGCAUGAUAAUUAAUUGAAAGGUGCAAUUGCACCACUACCAGAUGGACCUGCGUUGUAUUAGCUAGUAGGUGAGGUAACGGCUCACCUAGGCGACGAUACAUAGCCGACCUGAGAGGGCGAUCGGCCACACUGGGACUGAGACACGGCCCAGACUCCUACGGGAGGCAGCAGUAGGGAAUCUUCGGCAAUGGACGAAAGUCUGACUGAGCAACGCCGCGUGAGUGAAGAAGGUUUUCGGAUCGUAAAGCUCUGUUGUAAGAGAAGAACGGGUGUGAGAGUGGAAAGUUCACACUGUGACGGUAUCUUACCAGAAAGGGACGGCUAACUACGUG